CUUUCUGAAGUUUGACCUCGAAUCAGGUAGGAUUACCCGCUGAACUUAAGCAUAUCAAUAAGCGGAGGAAAAGAAACCAACAGGGAUUGCCCUAGUAACGGCGAGUGAAGCGGCAACAGCUCAAAUUUGAAAUCUGGCCCUCGGGUCCGAGUUGUAAUUUGUAGAGGAUGCUUUUGGUGAGGUACCUUCCGAGUUCCCUGGAACGGGACGCCAUAGAGGGUGAGAGCCCCGUCUGGUUGGAUACCGAUCCUCUGUAAAGCUCCUUCAACGAGUCGAGUAGUUUGGGAAUGCUGCUCUAAAUGGGAGGUAUAUGUCUUCUAAAGCUAAAUAUUGGCCAGAGACCGAUAGCGCACAAGUAGAGUGAUCGAAAGAUGAAAAGCACUUUGAAAAGAGAGUUAAAAAGUACGUGAAAUUGUUGAAAGGGAAGCGCUUAUGACCAGACUUGGACUUGGUUGAUCAUCCUGGGUUCUCCCUGGUGCACUCUUCCAGUUCAGGCCAGCAUCAGUUCAUCGCGGGGGAUAAAGGCUUUAGGAAUGUGGCUCCUUCGGGAGUGUUAUAACCUAUUGUGUAAUACCCUGCUUUGGACUGAGGUUCGCGCAUCUGCAAGGAUGCUGGCGUAAUGGUCAUCAGCGACCCGUCUUGAAACACGGACCAAGGAGUCGUCUUCGUAUGCGAGUGUUCGGGUGUUAAACCCCUACGCGUAAUGAAAGUGAACGCAGGUGAGAGCUUCGGCGCAUCAUCGACCGAUCCUGAUGUUCUCGGAUGGAUUUGAGUAAGAGCAUACGGGGCCGGACCCGAAAGAAGGUGAACUAUGCCUGUAUAGGGUGAAGCCAGAGGAAACUCUGGUGGAGGCUCGCAGCGGUUCUGACGUGCAAAUCGAUCGUCAAAUAUGGGCAUGGGGGCGAAAGACUAAUCGAACCUUCUAGUAGCUGGUUUCCGCCGAAGUUCCCUUCAGA
Molecule: ribosomal RNA, 956 nt
Filed under: Cylindrocladiella sp. CBS 139.26
Lineage: Eukaryota; Fungi; Ascomycota; Sordariomycetes; Hypocreales; Nectriaceae
Description: eukaryotic LSU rRNA
Rfam family: Eukaryotic large subunit ribosomal RNA
Source: RNAcentral